GUGCAAAGGUAGCAUAAUCAUUAGUUUUUUAAUUGAAGGCUUGUAUGAAGGGUUGGACAAAGAAUAAUCUGUUUUUAAUUUUAUUUUUGAAUUUAACUUUUAAGUGAAAAGGCUUAAAUAUGUUUGAGGGACGAUAAGACCCUAUAAAUCUUUAUAUUAAGUUAAUUUUUAUUGGUUAUUAUAGUGGAUUUAAUAAUAAAAUAAUAUAUAUUAUGUUGGGGUGAUAAGAAUAUAAAUAAAUAACUGUUCUAUAAUAAAAACAAAAUUAUUUGAAGUUUAAUAGAUCCUUUUUUGAGAUUAAAAGUUUAAGUUACUUUAGGGAUAACAGCGUUAUUUUUUUUGAGAGUUCUUAUCGAAAAAAAAGUUUGCGACCUCGAUGUUGAAUUAAAAUUUCUUUAUGGUGAAGUGGUUAUAAAAGAGAGUCUGUUCGACUUUU
RNAcentral lists this ribosomal RNA (436 nucleotides) under Trapezionida pasithea. Its description in RNAcentral is "Munida pasithea partial large subunit ribosomal RNA". The stretch from base 321 to 436 matches the Rfam family "Bacterial large subunit ribosomal RNA", at positions 2473 to 2589 of the family's 2925-position model. The record is from RNAcentral. Lineage: Eukaryota; Metazoa; Arthropoda; Malacostraca; Decapoda; Munididae.